RNAcentral lists this small RNA (4431 nucleotides) under Pan troglodytes (chimpanzee). Its description in RNAcentral is "retained intron". Lineage: Eukaryota; Metazoa; Chordata; Mammalia; Primates; Hominidae. The record is from RNAcentral.
UCAUACUGAGAAGGUCUAAAAGCAAAUAAUUUUUUCAUUCUUUUCCACUUGAGUCAGUUUUUCACAGCAUGUACUGUGAUGGCAAUAGCAUUCCUAUUGAGAAAUUAUGAUUUAAAAGCUGCUUCUUUCUCUUUAAAACAAUAGUCAAGUUGAAUCAUUUUUGUUAAGACUUUUGUUGUCAAGUUAGUGCCAGAGUCACAAGUACAUUUACGUAGUACUUUGAUUUGCAUAUGGUUUGUUUUGCUAUGACCUUUGUCAACUCUAGUUGUUUUUUAAAGUAAAUAAUGUCUAUUAUUCUUAAAGUAGUUUUAUUCUGUUUUCCUUUUUACCUACCCUUAUCUAAAUCACCUUCUUGUAAGUUUGUCAAUGUCAGUGUCACUUUUGAGUAGAGGGUCACUAUAGUAUAAAAGAUACCUUCUCCCUCUACUGGCCAUUCUUGGAAAAUGAUCUAGCCAUUUAUAAACACUUGGUUAACAUUGUCAGUUGUAUAUGAGGAUGGAUUCUGGGUUUCCAGGACUGCCAGUCACUGGAAAUAAUCAUGAAAUGUUGAGAAGAAAUUCAGAGUUAGACAAUGGUAAACUAGGUGUAACCUACCAAAAAUAUGAAAAACAGAGACUUAUAAUUCUAAAACCAAUAAAUUAGGGUUUUUAAAUGGGGAUUCAAUUUAAAAUAUAUGUUUACAUUGAUUUACUUUCUUUUGGAAAAUAUUUCUGGGAAAUACAUAUACUCAGUGGAAAAUUAGAAAUAAGAAAGAAAGAAGGAAAUACAUUUAGACUCAUUUCCUGCUGCCAGAGAUUGUUUCUUAAAUUCUUUCAUGCUUAUAACAGUGUUCAAAAUAGUGUUUUUCAUAUGAACAUUGAAAAAUACUUAUGAACCAAGUAAAUUGAGAGCAGAGGCAGAAAUGUGCCUCUUCUAUGGUUCCUAAGAACAUGGGUCUUCAAUUUUGUAAAUCAAAAUAGUUAAUAAUAAUUGGUCAUUGAGAAAAGAAUUCACCUAAGUAGAUGGUACGUAUUCUGAUACUCAGUUGCAUUUUAUCUGGGAAGAAUAAAAAUGAGUUCCAUUUUAAAAUUACAUGUUUAAUAUAGGAAUCUUGCAACACAAUAUAGAAUAUUAACUGCCACAACCAAAUAACUGUGCAAUCAGGCAGAGUUUAAAAAUGUGAAGAUAUGUUUUUAAAUUGUAUACAAAUUUACCUAACAUGAUAUUUUUCGGCAUGCAUAUCUUUUUUCUUUUUCUUUUUUUAAGAGAGAAACUAUAUAAUAUAGCUUAUUACAUUUUAGGCAGUGUACUUCAUCUCAUUCUUAUAGGUAAAAGUGGGUAAUGAUAAAACUAUAGAGAAAUAACUUGACAUAAUUUCACAGUUUGACCCCCAAGGCUCACAUUUAACUUGUGCUGUGCAAACUAUUGCCAUAUGUGAAAAGGCCACUAGGGUUUUGAAGAUAAGCACAGUGAUGGUGCAGGAAGCAUGAUUCUUCAGGGCAUUUGAAUAGAGGAGCAGAGGAAUGACUUAAUUCGGUACUGGGCACAUGGUGCAGACUCCAAACCCUGUUUCCUUCCACAUGCCUCCUGCCAGUGCUUUGCCGUCAUGUUGUUGACUGGAAGCUGUUGCUCUGUUAACCUAGACACUGGCAAAUGAGUUUUGUUUUCAGGAGGUCUGAAUUAGAAUCAAGAGGAAAAGUAGUGCAAGGGAGAGGAAGGUUAUUUUCUCUACUUUGAUUUUGACUCUGACUGUAGAAUAAGGAUGCCUAUUUCCAACAGAGAAAAAUCGAAACCAUUAUGACUGAUUUCAUGUCAUUGAAAUCACCCAUGUUAUAACUAAAAAUAAAGUCCUCUAACAGCCUUCAACAAAGAUACCUAGUUAACAAGACAAUCAACUGAGAUUCUGUUUUUACUAUAAAUCUUAAUGUUUUCUGUUAAGGCCUUCAUUAAAACUGCAUUUGCUGGGAUUCUUUUCCUUUUAAUGUUAGGUAUGAAAAUAUAAAUAUGCUAGGGGCUAUAGAAAAGACAGUCAAAAUAGAGGAAAAAUACAGUUUUUGAAUUUGUCAAUUUCUAUUUUUUGUCAUGAACGAUGACUGAAUGACAUCUUCUAAGAAGUAAAAACUUAUUUUUAUUUACCUUCUAUGGAGUGUUUAUUCUGGUCAAUAUACUAUUGAGCAUGCUAUCUAAAUGAUACACAUAUAAUAUAAAUAUUUUCACCUUUUUAUGUCUGAGCAAACUGAGGCUCAAAGGGGUUAAUUAACAUGUUGUGGCCACACUAGUUAAGCCAGGGAUUCCAAACUUCAGUCUGUAUGAAUCCAAAGCACGUACUGUUUUCUCUGUAUGCUACUACCUACCUUUAUAUAGUCAGUGAGUUGAAAAUUAUCUGUAGAAUUCAAACCAAACUAUUUCAGGUUGGAGAAAGUAGGCAUUAAAAACUUGACGUUUUCUACUUUUUUCAUAUAUUUAACUUGAUGAUUUUUUUCUCUCAGUAGUUCAAAAUGAAAUAAUUGUCUAUCCAGAGAACACAGAAGACAAUAUGAAAAAUGGAGUGAAGAAAACAGAAAUCAAUGUAGGAGGUGUUGCCAAAAAUAACAACAUUGAUAUGGAAGUUGAGAGACCAUCAAACUCUGAGGCACAUGAAACUGAUAUUGCUAUAAGUUACAAGGAAAACCAUCUAGCAGCUUCAUCAGUACCAGAUCAAAAACUGAAUCAACCCAGUGCAGAAAAGACAAAAAUGCAAGAUGCAGCAAUUCAGACAACCCCUUCUUGUAACAGUUUUGAUGGGAAACACCAAGAUCAUAAUUUAUCUGACUCCAAAGUUGAAGAAUGUGUGCAAACUUCAAAUAACAACAUAUCAACUCAACACUCAUGCUUAAGUUCACAAGAUUCUGUAAAUACCUCAAGGGAAUUCAGGAGUCAAGGCACCCUAAUUAUACAUUCAGAAGAUCCGCUUACCGUAAAAGAUCCAAUUUGUGCACAUGGUAAUGAUGAUCUUUUGCCUCCUAUAGAUAGGAUUGACAAAAAUUCAACUGCUUCUUACCUAAAGAAUUACCCACUUUAUAGACAGGACUACAAUCCCAAGCCAAAACCUUCAAAUGAAAUUACACGAGAGUAUAUACCCAAAAUUGGCAUGACUACUUAUAAAAUAGUGCCUCCCAAAUCCUUGGAAAUAUCGAAAGACUGGCAAUCAGAAACCAUAGAGUAUAAAGAUGAUCAGGACAUGCAUGCUUUAGGGAAAAAGCACACUCAUGAGAAUGUGAAAGAAACUGCCAUCCAAACAGAAGAUUCUGCUAUUUCUGAAAGCCCAGAAGAGCCACUGCCAAACCUUAAACCGAAGCCUAACCUGAGAACAGAGCAUCAAGUGCCCAGUUCUGUGAGCUCACCUGAUGGUGCCAUGGUUAGUCCUCUGAAACCUGCUCCCAAAAUGACAAGAGACACUGGCACAGCUCCUUUUGCACCAAAUUUGGAAGAAAUAAACAAUAUUUUGGAAUCAAAAUUUAAAUCUCGGGCUUCAAAUGCCCAGGCCAAACCCAGCUCUUUUUUUUUGCAGAUGCAGAAGAGAGUAUCGGGUCACUAUGUGACAUCUGCAGCUGCCAAGAGUGUCCAUGCUGCCCCUAAUCCUGCUCCAAAAGAACUGACAAAUAAAGAGGCAGAAAGGGAUAUGCUGCCUUCUCCGGAGCAGACUCUUUCUCCCUUAAGUAAAAUGCCUCACUCUGUUCCACAACCCCUUGUUGAAAAAACUGAUGAUGAUGUCAUCGGUCAGGCUCCUGCUGAAGCCUCCCCUCCUCCCAUAGCUCCAAAACCUGUGACAAUUCCUGCUAGUCAGGUAUCCACACAAAAUCUGAAGACUUUGAAAACUUUUGGUGCCCCACGACCAUACUCAAGUUCUGGUCCUUCACCGUUUGCUCUUGCUGUAGUGAAAAGGUCACAGUCUUUCAGUAAAGAGCGCACCGAGUCACCUAGUGCCAGUGCAUUGGUCCAACCUCCAGCCAACACAGAGGAAGGGAAGACUCAUUCUGUAAAUAAAUUUGUGGACAUCCCACAGCUUGGUGUGUCUGAUAAGGAAAAUAACUCUGCACAUAAUGAACAGAAUUCCCAAAUACCAACUCCAACUGAUUGCCCAUCAUUCACUGUUAUGAGACAAAGUUCUUUAACAUUCCAAAGCUCUGACCCAGAACAGAUGCGACAGAGUUUGCUGACUGCAAUCCGUUCGGGGGAGGCUGCUGCCAAAUUGAAAAGGGUUACCAUUCCAUCAAAUACAAUAUCUGUGAAUGGAAGGUCAAGACUCAGCCAUUCCAUGUCCCCUGAUGCCCAGGACGGCCGUUAAAUGUUACCCUGCCACACCACUGCACUUCACUUCCACUUCAGACCAACUUCAUACUAAUGGAACAUUUUGGCAAAUGUAUAUUCAGAUGUACACUAAUAUAUUAUCUAUUAAAAUAUUAGAAUUUG